ACAGGUGGUCUAGAGGUUAGAGAGGUGGUAGACAGGUGGUCUAGAGGUUAGAGAGGUGGUAGACAGGUGGUCUAGAGGUUAGAGAGGUGGUCUAGAGGUUAGAGAGGUGGUAGACAGGUGGUCUAGAGGUUAGAGAGGUGGUCUAGAGGUUAGAGAGGUGGUAGACAGGUGGUCUAGAGGUUAGAGAGGUGGUAGACAGGUGGUCUAGAGGUUAGAGAGGUGGUCUAGAGGUUAGAGAGGUGGUCUAGAGGUUGGAUAGGUGGUCUAGAGGUUGGAGAGGUGGUCUAGAGGUGGUCUAGAGGUUAGAGAGGUGGUAGACAGGUGGUCUAGAGGUUAGAGAGGUGGUCUAGAGGUUAGAGAGGUGGUAGACAGGUGGUCUAGAGGUUAGAGAGGUGGUCUAGAGGUUAGAGAGGUGGUAGACAGGUGGUCUAGAGGUUAGAGAGGUGGUAAACAGGUGGUCUAGAGGUUAGAGAGGUGGUCUAGAGGUUAGAGAGGUGGUAGACAGGUGGUCUAGAGGUUAGAGAGGUGGUCUAGAGGUUAGAGAGGUGGUCUAGAGGUUGGAUAGGUGGUCUAGAGGUGGUCUAGAGGUUAGAGAGGUGGUCUAGAGGUUAGAGAGGUGGUAGACAGGUGGUCUAGAGGUUAGAGAGGUGGUCUAGAGGUUAGAGAGGUGGUAGACAGGUGGUCUAGAGGUUAGAGAGGUGGUCUAGAGGUUAGAGAGGUGGUCUAGAGGUUAGAGAGGUGGUAGACAGGUGGUCUAGAGGUUAGAGAGGUGGUCUAGAGGUUAGAGAGGUGGUCUAGAGGUUGGAUAGGUGGUCUAGAGGUGGUCUAGAGGUUAGAGAGGUGGUCUAGAGGUGGUAGACAGGUGGUCUAGAGGUUAGAGAGGUGGUCUAGAGGUUAGAGAGGUGGUAGACAGGUUGUCUAGAGGUUAGAGAGGUGGUCUAGAGGUUAGAUAGGUGGUCUAGAGGUUAGAGAGGUGGUAAACAGGUGGUCUAGAGGUUAGAGAGGUGGUCUAGAGGUUAGAGAGGUGGUCUAGAGGUUAGAGAGGUGGUCUAGAGGUUGGAUAGGUGAUCUAGAGGUUGGAGAGGUGGUCUAGAGAUGGUCUAGAGGUUAGAGAGGUGGUCUAGAGGUGGUAGACAGGUGGUCUAGAGGUUAGAGAGGUGGUCUAGAGGUUAGAGAGGUGGUCUAGAGGUUAGAGAGGUGGUAGACAGGUGGUCUAGAGGUUAGUGAGGUGGUCUAGAGGUUAGAGAGGUGGUCUAGAGGUUGGAUAGGUGGUCUAGAGGUUGGAGAGGUGGUCUAGAGGUGGUCUAGAGGUUAGAGAGGUGGUAGACAGGUGGUCUAGAGGUUAGAGAGGUGGUCUAGAGGUUAGAGAGGUGGUAGACAGGUGGUCUAGAGGUUAGAGAGGUGGUCUAGAGGUUAGAGAGGUGGUAGACAGGUGGUCUAGAGGUUAGAGAGGUGGUCUAGAGGUUAGAGAGGUGGUAGACAGGUGGUCUAGAGGUUAGAGAGGUGGUCUAGAGGUUAGAGAGGUGGUAGACAGGUGGUCUAGAGGUUAGAGAGGUGGUCUAGAGGUUAGAGUGGUGGUAGACAGGUGGUCUAGAGGUUAGAGAGGUGGUAGACAGGUGGUCUAGAGGUUAGAGAGGUGGUAGACAGGUGGUCUAGAGGUUAGAGAGGUGGUAGACAGGUGGUCUAGAGGUUAGAGAGGUGGUAGACAGGUGGUCUAGAGGUUAGAGAGGUGGUAGACAGGUGGUCUAGAGGUUAGAGAGGUAGUCUAGAGGUUGGAUAGGUGGUCUAGAGGUGGUCUAGAGGUUAGAGAGGUGGUCUAGAGGUUAGAGAGGUGGUAGACAGGUAGUCUAGAGGUUAGAGAGGUGGUCUAGAGGUUAGAGAGGUGGUCUAGAGGUUAGAGAGGUGGUAGACAGGUGGUCUAGAGGUUAGAGAGGUGGUAAACAGGUGGUCUAGAGGUUAGAGAGGUGGUCUAGAGGUUGGAUAGGUGGUCUAGAGGUUGGAGAGGUGGUCUAGAGGUGGUCUAGAGGUUAGAGAGGUGGUAGACAGGUGGUCUAGAGGUUAGAGAGGUGGUCUAGAGGUUAGAGAGGUGGUAGACAGGUGGUCUAGAGGUUAGAGAGGUGGUCUAGAGGUUAGAGAGGUGGUCUAGAGGUUAGAGAGGUGGUCUAGAGGUUAGAGAGGUGGUAGACAGGUGGUCUAGAGGUUAGAGAGGUGGUAAACAGGUGGUCUAGAGGUUAGAGAGGUGGUCUAGAGGUUAGAGAGGUGGUAGACAGGUGGUCUAGAGGUUAGAGAGGUGGUCUAGAGGUUAGAGAGGUGGUAGACAGGUGGUCUAGAGGUUAGAGAGGUGGUCUAGAGGUUAGAGAGGUGGUCUAGAGGUUAGAGAGGUGGUAGACAGGUGGUCUAGAGGUUAGAGAGGUAGUCUAGAGGUUAGAGAGGUGGUAGACAGGUGGUCUAGAGGUUAGAGAGGUGGUAGACAGGUGGUCUAGAGGUUAGAGAGGUAGUCUAGAGGUUAGAGAGGUGGUCUAGAGGUUGGAUAGGUGGUCUAGAGGUGGUCUAGAGGUUAGAGAGGUGGUCUAGAGGUGGUAGACAGGUGGUCUAGAGGUUAGAGAGGUGGUCUAGAGGUUAGUGAGGUGGUAGACAGGUUGUCUAGAGGUUAGAGAGGUGGUCUAGAGGUUAGAUAGGUGGUCUAGAGGUGGUAGACAGGUGGUCUAGAGGUUAUAGAGGUAGUCUAGAGGUUAGAGAGGUGGUAGACAGGUGGUCUAGAGGUUAGAGAGGUGGUAAACAGGUGGUCUAGAGGUUGGAUAGGUGGUCUAGAGGUUGGAUAGGUGGUCUAGAGGUUGGAUAGGUGGUCUAGAGGUUGGAGAGGUGGUCUAGAGGUGGUCUAGAGGUUAGAGAGGUGGUAGACAGGUGGUCUAGAGGUUAGAGAGGUGGUGUAGAGGUUAGAGAGGUGGUCUAGAGAUGGUAGACAGGUGGUCUAGAGGUUAGAGAGGUAGUCUAGAGGUUAGAGAGGUGGUCUAGAGAGGUGGUCUAGAGGUUGGAGAGGUGGUCUAGAGGUGGUAGACAGGUGGUCUAGAGGUUAUAGAGGUAGUCUAGAGGUUAGAGAGAUGGUAGACAGGUGGUCUAGAGGUUAGAGAGGUGGUAGACAGGUGGUCUAGAGGUUAGAUAGGUGGUCUAGAGGUUGGAGAGGUGGUCUAGAGGUGGUAGACAGGUGGUCUAGAGGUUAUAGAGGUAGUCUAGAGGUUAGAGAGGUGGUAGACAGGUGGUCUAGAGGUUAGAGAGGUGGUAAACAGGUGGUCUAGAGGUUAGAGAGGUGGUCUAGAGGUUGGAUAGGUGGUCUAGAGGUUGGAUAGGUGGUCUAGAGGUUGGAGAGGUGGUCUAGAGGUGGUCUAGAGGUUAGAGAGGUGGUAGACAGGUGGUCUAGAGGUUAGAGAGGUGGUGUAGAGGUUAGAGAGGUGGUCUAGAGAUGGUAGACAGGUGGUCUAGAGGUUAGAGAGGUAGUCUAGAGGUUGGAUAGGUGGUCUAGAGGUGGUAGACAGGUGGUCUAGAGGUUAGAGAGGUGGUGUAGAGGUUAGAGAGGUGGUAGACAGGUGGUCUAGAGGUUAGAUAGGUGGUCUAGAGGUGGUAGACAGGUGGUCUAGAGGUUGGAGAGGUGGUCUAGAGGUUGGAGAGGUGGUCUAGAGGUUGGAGAGGUGGUCUAGAGGUUGGAGAGGUGGUCUAGAGGUUGGAGAGGUGGUCUAGAGGUUGGAGAGGUGGUCUAGAGGUUAGAGAGGCGGUCUAGAGGUUAGACAGGCGGUCUAGAGGUUAGAGAGGUGGUCUAGAGAUUGGAUAGGUGGUCUAGAGGUUGGAGAGGUGGUCUAGAGGUGGUAGACAGGUGGUCUAGAGGUUAUAGAGGUAGUCUAGAGGUUAGAGAGGUGGUAGACAGGUGGUCUAGAGGUUAGAGAGGUGGUAAACAGGUGGUCUAGAGGUUAGAGAGGUGGUCUAGAGGUUGGAUAGGUGGUCUAGAGGUUGGAUAGGUGGUCUAGAGGUUGGAUAGGUGGUCUAGAGGUUGGAUAGGUGGUCUAGAGGUUGGAUAGGUGGUCUAGAGGUUGGAUAGAGGUUAGAGAGGUGGUAGACAGGUGGUCUAGAGGUUAGAGAGGUGGUGUAGAGGUUAGAGAGGUGGUCUAGAGAUGGUAGACAGGUGGUCUAGAGGUUAGAGAGGUAGUCUAGAGGUUGGAGAGGUGGUCUAGAGGUUGGAGAGGUGGUCUAGAGGUUAGACAGGCG
Long non-coding RNA from Oncorhynchus keta (chum salmon), 4257 nucleotides. RefSeq lists it as uncharacterized. The record is from RefSeq and is a predicted model, not a curated record. The transcript has 10 exons. Lineage: Eukaryota; Metazoa; Chordata; Actinopteri; Salmoniformes; Salmonidae.